AGCCAGCCGGGCCUCCCCCUGCGCCGCAGCGGGAGACGGCUGACGCUCGCAAACAUCGUCGCGAGGCGAUAAAAUGCCAGUCCUGGCCUCUCGGUUGAGCAGACUAAGAGCAAUGAUGCUAUCUCCUGGGAAAAUUAGAGUGGAAGAUACAUAUUAUCCAUGAUGAUCCUUCUGCCUCCAUCCUGCUGCCUGCCACCCACAGCCACUCAGUCCCAAGUCCUGUCGACCUGCUUUCCUAGGUAGAUCUAUGAUCCACCUCUUUCCAUCCCUCACUCAGCCACUGCCCCAGCCCAGCCCCUGUCAUCUCUCACCUGGAGCACAGCAUCAGUCUCCCAGCAGACCUCACUCUGCUUCCAUCUCUCUGCCCACAUGUGGUCCACUUCCACAAAACAACUAGAGUGUUCUUUCUGGAACGCAAAUUGAAAUGUCACUGGCCUGCUCUAGGGUGAGGUCCAGAUUCCCCAGGACCUGGGCUUGCCUAUCAGCCUAGAAUCUCUCUCACUAGUCUCCUCUCUGUAGUGGAUUAGAUGAAGGCCCCCAAAAAGACAAGCCCAGGACCAGUCCCAUGGCCUAGUGGUUAAGUUUGGCACACACUGCUUCUGUGGCCUGGGUUUGGUUCCUGGGCGUGGACCUAUGCCACUCCUCUGUUGGUGGCCAUGCUAUGGUGGCAUCCCACAUACAAAAUAGAGGAAGAUUGGCACGGAUGUUACCUCAGGGACAAUCUUCCUCAGCAAAAAAAAAAAAAAAAAGAUAUAUCCACAAUAUCCACAUCCUAACGCCUGGGCCCUGUGAAUGUCACCUUAUUUCGAAAAAAGGUCUUUGCAGAUGUAAUUAAGUUAAGAGUCUUGAGAUGAGGAGAUCAUCCUGGAUUACCUGGGUGGGUCCUAAAUCCAAUGACAAGUGUCCUUAUAAGAAGUAAAAGAGAAGACACAGACAUAGAGUAGAAGGCCAGUGAAGGUGGAGGCAGGGACCAGAAUAUACAGCCACAAGGAAUGCCUGGAGCCUCCAGAAGCUGGAAUUCCAGACGUGAGGAAGGAUUCUCCCAUAGUGCCUCUGGAGAGAGUGCCACCUGCUGACACCUUGAUCUCAGACUUGCCACCUCCAGAGCCGUGAGGAAAGGAAUUUCCGUUGUUGCAGCCACCCAGUCUGUGGUGAUUUGUCACGGCAGCCCCAGGAAGCUAACACCCUCCCCCACAGGGCUCCAGCCAUGCCACCUGGCCUGAGAAAGAACUACCAGACUCCUCAAAGCUGCCUGGAUCUCUUUCUGGACCUUUGCACAUGCUGAUCCUUCUGCCCAAAACAUUCUUCCAUCCCCUUAUUGUGCAACUCACUCCUAUGGUCCCAUCACUCCUGCUGAAAAGUCUUCUCUGCCUCCUCAGCCAGCGGCCUGGCAGAUGCAUGGCUCCUGCAGCCUGACAGACGUCUGCCCGGUGCUCCUGGCCCUUCUCGGGGAGUGGCGGCACCCUCCGUUUGAGCGAGGAGCCGUCUGUCCGCCCAAGCUCACAGCCUUGAGGUGCGAAGGGGAUCUGAAGCCAGGUCUGCCGCCUUCACAGCACAAGCGCUGCUCCUAUCCUGGCUGCCCAGCUGCCUCUCAGGACUCAGGCGACACCAGGCGGCACCCGCUGUCUGUCCCCAGAGCUCCCCAAAGCCAGAGCACAAUAGUUCUAGCGAAAACAGCAGCAACAAAGUCCACGGUGCCUAAAUACUCACGUCUGCAUUCUGCAG
Long non-coding RNA from Equus caballus (horse), 1725 nucleotides. NCBI's taxonomy places the organism in Eukaryota, Metazoa, Chordata, Mammalia, Perissodactyla, Equidae. The record is from Ensembl.